AUACCUCUUAUAACUGUCCAUCUCAAAGUUUCCCAUUGUCUAAAAACGAGAAAGGUAGUAGUUCCUGAGGGUUCGAUCGUAUUUAAUGCGCUAGUUCGUUGGGGUUGUUAUUCUUCUGACUUAUUAAGGGCUCAAACAGUGUAUUUUAUGUGCAUUUUCGGAGAUUCAACUUGUUCAAUUUCGAAGGUAUAAACUAACUCCAAUAGAA
RNAcentral lists this long non-coding RNA (208 nucleotides) under Amborella trichopoda. Its description in RNAcentral is "long non-coding RNA (ATRI_LNC003185)". The record is from RNAcentral. Lineage: Eukaryota; Viridiplantae; Streptophyta; Magnoliopsida; Amborellales; Amborellaceae.